GAGGGUACAGCUCAGUGGUAGAGCACGUGCUCAGCAUGCAGGAAGUCCUGGGUUCAAUCCCCAGUACCUCCA
Molecule: transfer RNA, 72 nt
Filed under: Camelus bactrianus (Bactrian camel)
Lineage: Eukaryota; Metazoa; Chordata; Mammalia; Artiodactyla; Camelidae
Also listed under: 2 other names
Rfam family: tRNA
About the family: Transfer RNA (tRNA) molecules are approximately 80 nucleotides in length. Their secondary structure includes four short double-helical elements and three loops (D, anti-codon, and T loops). Further hydrogen bonds mediate the characteristic L-shaped molecular structure. tRNAs have two regions of fundamental functional importance: the anti-codon, which is responsible for specific mRNA codon recognition, and the 3' end, to which the tRNAs corresponding amino acid is attached (by aminoacyl-tRNA synthetases). tRNAs cope with the degeneracy of the genetic code in two manners: having more than one tRNA (with a specific anti-codon) for a particular amino acid; and 'wobble' base-pairing, i.e. permitting non-standard base-pairing at the 3rd anti-codon position.
Source: Rfam by way of RNAcentral